GUACUUACCUGGCAAGGGAGACAUCAUUAUCAUGAAGGUGGUUUUCCCAGGGAGAGGCUUAUCCAUUGCACUCCGGAUGUGUUGACCCAUGCAAUUUACCCAAAUGUGGGAAACUGGGAUGCAUAAUUUGUGGUAGUGGGGACUGUGUUUGCACUCUCCCCUG
Molecule: small nuclear RNA, 163 nt
Organism: Jaculus jaculus (lesser Egyptian jerboa)
Lineage: Eukaryota; Metazoa; Chordata; Mammalia; Rodentia; Dipodidae
Gene: U1
Rfam family: U1 spliceosomal RNA
About the family: U1 is a small nuclear RNA (snRNA) component of the spliceosome (involved in pre-mRNA splicing). Its 5' end forms complementary base pairs with the 5' splice junction, thus defining the 5' donor site of an intron. There are significant differences in sequence and secondary structure between metazoan and yeast U1 snRNAs, the latter being much longer (568 nucleotides as compared to 164 nucleotides in human).
Source: Ensembl